Molecule: ribosomal RNA, 305 nt
Filed under: uncultured bacterium
Lineage: Bacteria
Description: bacterial SSU rRNA
Rfam family: Bacterial small subunit ribosomal RNA
Source: RNAcentral
UUCCCUACGGGGGGCAGCAGUAGGGAAUCUUCCACAAUGGACGAAAGUCUGAUGGAGCAACGCCGCGUGAGUGAAGAAGGGUUUCGGCUCGUAAAACCCUGUUGUUAGAGAAGAAAGUGCGUGAGAGUAACUGUUCACGUUUCGACGGUAUCUAACCAGAAAGCCACGGCUAACUACGUGCCAGCAGCCGCGGUAAUACGUAGGUGGCAAGCGUUAUCCGGAUUUCUUGGGCGUAAAGGGAACGCAGGCGGUCUUUUAAGUCUGAUGUGAAAACCUUCGGCUUAACCGGAGUAGUGCAUUGGAAA